AAAAAUAGCCCCUUGCAAAACGAAGGAAAACGCACGCAUACCGCCGGCUGCCACGCCAUCGAAGCCGCGCGCCUCUCCCAGCCCAUCACCGGCGCCGCCUUACUCAUCCGCCGCUCUCGCCCUCCCCAGACCACCCCCACCCCUCGGCGGCUCCGAGCCGUCACGCUCGCUUCGUCGGAGCUCCCCAAGCAGCAGGGAUCGUCCUCCCUCCUCGCCCGCCGCCGCCGCUUCUUCGGCCGUUCACUCGCCCCCUCCCACCAGCUUUUGUUCGUUGCAGGGCUGAAUUCUUUGCGGAACGAUCUGUGAGGCUCGCGAACUGACUGGGUUCACCUGGCAUUGCUAGCACAGCUGUGGCCACCAGAAAUAUGGCUGAAUUCUUUGUCUGGUGUUUUGUUUUCUCCAUGUGCUUCACUGUCAUCCGGGCACACUGCAUUACUUUUAACUUGUCGGCACCAUUUUUUAAGAGGCAUGGUAAAGCUCCAUUAGAAUCACCUGAAGAAAAGGAGGUAUGCUUUUUAAACAGUUAAUUUUUUAUGGUUUUGUUGUUCUCUUGAAUAGGUUGAGAAGGAACGAUUGGUUGGAUAUGAACUUGCUUGCUUAGUGGGAACCAUGGCGUUCGAACUACUAGGCAGUGGUUAAAUCAUGUGCUACCAACUGUUUUGGUAUUGGUCAGGUGAGCAGCACCGCACUCAAUUGUUAAAUGAUGGGGGUACUUGAAUCUAUACAAAUUUAACUUGGAUAUUUCGGAUUUACCUACAAAAUGAGUUCAUUUGCUGGAUGCCUUGUUACAGCAAAUUUAAAUUUGAGGCCCUUCUUUUCAUGCUGUCCUGGCUUUCUGUUUCAGAAAUGACUUGAGAUUUUUCUCGAGAACACUAUCAUCAAUGAAAGUCUACUCUUCUUGCAAGUUCUCAUUGUAUCAUCUUUAGAUAAUUAUGCCCCUGGCUAUUCUUAAUUACAUCCUCCUCUCUCCACAUCGCCUUACCCGCAGAUGGAGGGAAGGAGAGAGACACUUACAUUCAGAGAGGAUCUUCUGUUCUGUUUUGUAUUAACCUGUUUUUCAUAGGUAACCUAAUUGUGGUGGUUAGUAUUUGUUUUUUCGUAGAUGACAACAAAAUAUCUGAAGAUGCUUUUGAGGCACCUCAACAAUAGCUGCAGUGAAAUUUAAACCACUAAGAGCAAUUUUUUUUGUCGUAGCCUGUGGUUGACUAAUCAUAUAUUAUCAUUGGUGUGCAACAUGAUUGUUUGAUCCAUGGUGUGCUUCAACAGUGGAUUAAGUUUUGAUUAGUGGCUCAUGUAGUCAUGUGUCUAGUUGUGGUAUGAAAGUCCCAUGCCUAAGCAGUUUAUGUCUUGCUGUGUUAUGCUAUAUAAUCUUGACAUGGAAUUGAACUGAUCAAGCUUUAUUAAAAUAUCAUGAUAAAUAUCUUUCAAUAAAUUUGUAUUCGCUUCUUUCUUGGUUGAUUCAUACCUUAUUCUAUUAUAUAUCUUUGUUUAGUGCAUCUUCUCCUAAUUACUGGUAUGUUCUGUCUCUGCACAAUUGUGUGUGCAACACAGAGGCUGGGGCUCACUACAGCUGCUCUCGUUCUCUUUUAUUCUAAUGAUCAACCUGUUUAUAUGUUGUUUUGGGCUUUGGGGCCCUGAUUAACCACCUGACUGGUGUGCUCCCAAGUGCUAGCACGGUGCUGGUGCUAAUCUUCAUGGAUGAAAAUUGCAGGGAAAUAUUUGCACUUGGUGCUUUAGUUGUUUAUGGCGCCGAGUAAGUUCUGAUAACUUUAGGGACUAGACUAAACUGCAGCACUACAGUUCCAUAGCACAGCUGUUCUGCUGCGGGCUGGGAGCUUGAACUUGAUUUCAUCUUUGGACAUGACCCAAUGGUUUUUAUGGCUGUUGCUGGAAGCAAGUGUGGGAUGGAUAUGGAUGGUCAGCCUUACGCGUAUAUACCUUCCUCAAUUCUCUGGAUUUAUUUUCUCUCCUUUAUUUUGCAUCUUUCUACGUUUCUCCAUUUGCAAGGCCUAAAUUCCAUUUUUGGUUACUUAUAGAAAAUUUUCUCCCUUUUAUUUUGGCUUCAGUUGCUGGAUAUAGCUUGCAUCUUGGUAAGCAUGAGGAUGGCUUGGAAAAGAUUCCUUCACGAUGUUUGCCAAGGAGUAUUAACAAUCUCAACAAUUUGCAAACUUCAGUCUUUAAUUAGGUUUAAUAGACCCCAAACAAAGCGUCUAGAACCUAUAUGUAUUUCUGUAGAUCAAUGUACAAACAAGCAUGUGCUGUGGCUUAAGCUAGUGCCAGCCUUUGGGCUAUAGAAUCCUCUACCAAAUAAGUAGCAUAUUUGUUGGAUGGAAGCUGUGUAUAUAUUACUAAAUACAGAUGAGAUACGCCAAGCAUUUAUGGAGCAUACGUCAUGAGGUUAUCAACGAUAAGUUUGACCGAUCUUUUGUUACAAAGCUCCAGUGGAGGUGUAUAUUUGGCAGUCAAUUAUACAGGCAAGAAUCAGAGUACCUAGACAGAUGACGUUCAUGAACGCUUCUGCUAAAUAAAUGACUAGAGUUAUUGAGAAGAUUUAAGAUAUAUCUUUCUGGAUUCCUAGAAUUAAUUGUGCACCUCGACUCCGCCCUAUAUAAGGAGCCUCCUUCACACCGGUUUGGAGACGCUCUUCAGUCUGGUCUCUGGUGUCUGCAAUGGACAACCUCAAGACCCAUUCUGAACAGUCCAAGCAACCUCACGGACAACAAGCAAAUGGCCUUCCUUUGGAUGUACCAACAGGUCAGGCCUUAGAUACUCAUAUGAUUGAACAACAGAGCACAAAUCAGACGCCGCUAUGGUUCUCCCUUGAGCAGCACAGGCUGCAGUUGGAUCAGGUUCGCCAACUCUAUAACGAGCAGGUUCGGGUGUCGCUGCAGCAGGAAAUAUCUUUACAGAAUGCAACUCUAUCAAACCUUCUGACAACCGAUGCGCUGAUCCAAAAGGUUGAAGAGGUAGCCAGCUUGCGCAUGGAGUUGCAGAGGAACCAAGAGGAUCGAGAAACUUUACGGCAUGCUUGCGAUCAGUUGCUGCAGCGUGUUGUGAUUGUAUAUGAAACGAACGAGGCACUUAUCAGAAUGUGUGCUCCGUUGCAGCAGGAAACAAACUCACAUGUUUCAGGCCCUGGAGAUAAAGCAUCAAGUCUGGUGAGAACCACCGCGGAGACAACCAAGAUUGAGCGUACUUGUAUGGUUUGCAACUCUGGUGGUGCCUGUAUGAUGUUGCUGCCGUGCAAGCACCUCUGCACCUGCAAGCCAUGUGGAGUUCAUCUCACAGCUUGCCCUAUCUGCGGUGUUGUGAAGGGUGACGCGGUCGAGACCCAAUUCAUAUGAGAAGUGAAGAGACAAUAGCAGCGAUGGGAACCUGUUGUUUCUGAUGUGCCUAAUAAGAGCAUGUGUGUUUUCUUUUUUUUUUCUGUGCAAGUGUGUUGUUGGAGCCUUGGUUUGUCAUCCUUUCUUGUUUUGAUGUUCUGUGGUAGUCUUCAUAUCAAUGUCAUAUUUCUGUUUUCUCAA
Molecule: long non-coding RNA, 3524 nt
Organism: Panicum hallii
Lineage: Eukaryota; Viridiplantae; Streptophyta; Magnoliopsida; Poales; Poaceae
Exons: 3
Source: RefSeq, a predicted model, not a curated record